UGGGGAAUAUUGGACAAUGGGCGAAAGCCUGAUCCAGCCAUGCCGCGUGUGUGAAGAAGGUCUUCGGAUUGUAAAGCACUUUAAGUUGGGAGGAAGGGCAUUAACCUAAUACGUUAGUGUUUUGACGUUACCGACAGAAUAAGCACCGGCUAACUCUGUGCCAGCAGCCGCGGUAAUACAGAGGGUGCAAGCGUUAAUCGGAAUUACUGGGCGUAAAGCGCGCGUAGGUGGUUUGUUAAGUUGGAUGUGAAGGCCCCGGGCUCAACCUGGGAACUGCAUCCAAAACUGGCAAGCUAGAGUACGGUAGAGGGUGGUGGAAUUUCCUGUGUAGCGGUGAAAUGCGUAGAUAUAGGAAGGAACACCAGUGGCGAAGGCGACCACCUGGACUGAUACUGACACUGAGGUGCGAAAGCGUGGGGAGCAAACA
RNAcentral lists this ribosomal RNA (427 nucleotides) under uncultured bacterium. RNAcentral's name for it is "partial 16S ribosomal RNA". It matches the Rfam family "Bacterial small subunit ribosomal RNA", at positions 355 to 774 of the family's 1533-position model. The record is from RNAcentral.